UCAGCUACCUGUGCAUGGAAAGGAGGGUUCCCGUUCGCUAGGCGCGCAAGUGAGAGGCAGAACGGGAGUGUGCGCCAAGGUGUGUUUGCUUGUUGUCGCCGGUGCAGUGUUUCUUGUCCCUAGCGCCAGCUUCGCGCCAUCCCAGUGAGUUUGAUUGAAAUGCGACCUCAGGAAAGUGUGGAACCGGGAAGAGGGUGCUAGGCGGGAGGGAAGAGGGACGGAACCUGGAGAAAACCGGGAAGGACCGGCCAAAAGUCACCGCAGCGGCUCUGCGAGCUGCUUGGGGACUGCUAUUUUGAAAUGCGGCGACUGCCACUCCGGGGCGCAGGAUACCAGGGUCAAGUGUCACUUCCUCUGGCGGUCAAUCUCCAAUAUUCCUUGUAAUGUUUUUAAAUGGACGAAUUCAUUACUUGGGGACGUGUGAAUGGAGAGUGUUGGAGAGCCGGCUUGAUCAAUAGCGUCUACUGAUGGUUCAUUUUUCACUGCGGAGCGAGGAUCGCGGAGCUGAAGAAAGACCUAAUCAAUAACGCGCACCACGGACUGGAAAAGAUGCCCACAGUGUGUGGCCUUCUGGGGAUUUUGAGAGCUAUAUGGGGCUCUGAGGAGCAGCAGGCACCAUCUGAAAGCUUUUACAGUUCACCACAACCAUGGUGGAAUGACAAAGCUUCCUGAGAAUGCUCUUAUAUGGGGCUCUCCACCUGACCACCACUUCCCCUGUGCAGGAUGCCAGUUGGAAGCAGGAAUUGAAUCCACCAGAGUCCAUCCAUUGUUGUGAGCUCCUGGUUCUGGUGCUAUAUUCUUGUCAGUUCUCUUAUUUCUCCAGUAUUUCUCCUAUAUCUCGUCAGCACACAAUUAACAUCUCUGAUAGUUCUCUCCCCAACAAAAAAUAAAUCUGUAAAAUUUAUCUCUAGAUAAAUCUCUAGAGCCAGGUACCUGAGGUUCAAGGCUGAUAAGGAGCUCGGAUUCCUGAAUUUGGCAUCCACUGAGCAGCACCUCCAGCUAUCAGCUUCUCAACCAGCGAGGUCCCUGCAGAAGCAUCCUCAGCUGAGUCCAGAACCUGAUUUCCACUGAUCAUUCAAAUAUGGGUCCUUGUGUCAUGACUACUGAACUGGAAGCUGCUAGUACCCAGGUCGAUAAAGGCACAAAUCCAA
Molecule: long non-coding RNA, 1151 nt
Organism: Mus musculus (house mouse)
Lineage: Eukaryota; Metazoa; Chordata; Mammalia; Rodentia; Muridae
Product: predicted gene, 35055
Exons: 3
Source: RefSeq, a predicted model, not a curated record